AAGGUAGCUUGCUACUGGACCUAGCGGCGGACGGGUGAGUAAUGCUUAGGAAUCUGCCUAUUAGUGGGGGACAACAUUCCGAAAGGAAUGCUAAUACCGCAUACGCCCUACGGGGGAAAGCAGGGGAUCUUCGGACCUUGCGCUAAUAGAUGAGCCUAAGUCGGAUUAGCUAGUUGGUGGGGUAAAGGCCUACCAAGGCGACGAUCCGUAGCGGGUCUGAGAGGAUGAUCCGCCACACUGGGACUGAGACACGGCCCGGACUCCUACGGGAGGCAGCAGUGGGGAAUAUUGGACAAUGGGCGGAAGCCUGAUCCAGCCAUGCCGCGUGUGUGAAGAAGGCCUUUUGGUUGUAAAGCACUUUAAGCGAGGAGGAGGCUCCUUUAGUUAAUACCUAAAGUGAGUGGACGUUACUCGCAGAAUAAGCACCGGCUAACUCUGUGCCAGCAGCCGCGGUAAUACAGAGGGUGCGAGCGUUAAUCGGAUUUACUGGGCGUAAAGCGUGCGUAGGCGGCUUUUUAAGUCGGAUGUGAAAUCCCUGAGCUUAACUUAGGAAUUGCAUUCGAUACUGGAAAGCUAGAGUAUGGGAGAGGAUGGUAGAAUUCCAGGUGUAGCGGUGAAAUGCGUAGAGAUCUGGAGGAAUACCGAUGGCGAAGGCAGCCAUCUGGCCUAAUACUGACGCUGAGGUACGAAAGCAUGGGGAGCAAACAGGAUUAGAUACCCUGGUAGUCCAUGCCGUAAACGAUGUCUACUAGCCGUUGGGGCCUUUGAGGCUUUAGUGGCGCAGCU
This 786-nucleotide ribosomal RNA is filed under the name uncultured bacterium. RNAcentral describes it as "SSU rRNA". It matches the Rfam family "Bacterial small subunit ribosomal RNA", at positions 72 to 853 of the family's 1533-position model. The record is from RNAcentral.